Molecule: long non-coding RNA, 8402 nt
Filed under: Coffea arabica (coffee)
Lineage: Eukaryota; Viridiplantae; Streptophyta; Magnoliopsida; Gentianales; Rubiaceae
Description: long non-coding RNA (CARA_LNC000489)
Source: RNAcentral
UCAAAGAAAUUAAUGAAUUUCGAUACUUGAAAACAAGGCAUUUGGAUUCCUCUCAAUUUCUCAAUCAUUUUACAAAUGGUUCUAUGAACAUAGACCUGUGCCAGGGCCUGUUAAGAUGCAACCCCCUCUCAAAACAGCAAUGCAUACAACUAUUGCAGAUCUUAAAUUGGACCUCAUAAUGCCACACCAUAUCUGUCAAGGCCAUAAGAAAAUAUUGUCCAAUAACUUCUCCCUAAAGAAAACAAAAUUCAGUUACAUGCACUUCAAAUUGCAUACUAAACCCAUGUACCAGCGGAUCACAAAAUUCAAGUAUGAAAUGAAAUUCACAAACAAUACCAGUACCAGUGGUUUGCAAGUUGAUGACUACAAAAACAGAUAUUGCAUCUGUUCUUACAUGACUAAACAAUACCAAUAGCAAUACCAGUGGUAUGUAAGUCGAUGACUUCCAAAACAGAUAUUGCAUGCAUCUGUUCUAACAUGACUGAACCAGCAUCUGCUUACAAGUGCGAAUAACCAAAUGUUUUCUUCCAUUCAAUUAUAGAUAAUGGAGGCUAGCAGCAAGUAUUCAAUGGUGAUAGGACCACCGUGGAUUUCUGACCCUCGUCUAUAAUAGUGGGCAUACCAGUUACAACACACCAAAAGCCCAAGAACGAUAGAGGCGGCAAGAAAUAUACCAACAACUUGACCAUGACCAUGAACUUGAUAAUCCAUACUGAGUUACAUCUUAGGCUGCACCCCCCAGUCUAUCAGAAGUUUCUUUCCACAUUCAAAGUUGUCAAUCAAAUUCCAGGUAGACUAGGAAGCGCUACAUCUUCACCAUCUAUACAACUUGAAAGGAGAGACAAAUAGAAAUCCCAAUUUCUGGAUAUUGAACUCAAGAACUGGUUGAGGUAAAGAUAUCUUAAAUUCAAUGGAAUAAAAAUGCUUGCUACAGAAUAUACCAAACUUCGCUAAAGACAACCAAAACUCCUCUCAUGCUAUCAAAGCAGAAUCUGCAACUUCAAAGUAUAUUGACAACACCGUCAUGAAUAAACCUGGACAAACAAAUGACACUGCAAUUGUGCUCAAAACAUAACCAUUACAAAUGAUCAGGAUGAGAAACCUCUACGUCUGUUUCGAUUUCUUGGUGAUCAGUAGCAUGCAACUAGUAUGAAUUAGUAAUGCAGAAAUUCAGGCUUGAAAACAUUCAUCCGAGUUCAACCCCCAGCUCUUCCUGAAAUUGAAUGCCAUAAUUUAAAAAACUAUAGUGCUGUACAAAGAAAACCAGGCACAACCACACGAGCGAGGAACUCCUUCGAAAUCAUGUAGACCACAAUACCAGGUAACAAAAUGACCAGAGAUUCUUGAAUUCAAGCUCCCUAAAUGGAAACCAGUUAUGCAACAUCACAUUCAACAUGUGCAAAAUCAAUCAGGAUUAUGGUGAACCAUAAAUUGAAAUUCUUCUUUGCAUCUCCUAAUUCUGAUAAUUCACCCCGUCAGUCUACAGCAAUAACAUCAAACAGCAACAGAGAGAAUUUUGACAGAUGAAGAAGCUAAUUGACGUCAGAAUUUUCCAAAAACUUGUACUGGACCCUGGAGAACAUGACAAACCAAUUAUUUCUAUGCACCCUGAAGAACAUGACAAACCAAAUAUUUCCAUGCACCCUUUAUUCUUUCAAAUACUUUAUGAACUCAAUAGUAAAAAUGCUGAAAACACAGCAUAGUUGGACGACCAUCAUGAGUAAUUCAGAAUUCAUCCAUCAAAAGCUAAAAAAUUGAAGAAAUAUAUGUGAACCAUCAUCCCACCGUGCUAUUCAAUUCCAUAAGGCCUAUAACAUUUAUCUUGAACCUGUUACUUAAGAACCAAACCAUGACCAAAACUCCUAAAUCCAAUCUGCAGAAUUAAACAGAUUAUAAAGCAUGACUAAUGCAUCAGUGAUGUUUUCAACAAACACAAUAACAGGAUGGCAUCAAGAGAUUCCAUGAUUCAAACCACAAUAUCGUGGAUAUCUGAAUAACAUAAUCAUCCAAGAGACCCCUAUUUCUUCACAAUCCUCUCGCUAGGACUAGAGUUGUGCAAGGGAGUACCAGGACAUCAGAACCCAACUUAAAACUCGACACCAAGAUGAAAACCAAUAUCAGAGCUGUCCAUUAAUCCCAACCAUCCAGAAAUUUAGGUUAUAUACAUACCAUCAAAACUAAUUAAUAUACCAAGCAUAAUGUUAAUUCUUUUCAGAUCAUGAUGAAUCAUCAAAACACCAGGAACCGCCAAUACAUGCAUGUUCAAUCGCAGAAUUAGAUAGUUUACAAGAAAACAAUCCCCAAAAAGAAAGGGCCUGGGAUUAAGCUAAUCAGAAAUUAAUAGAGAAGCAAAAUAGGUGCAAGUGAAUUAAAUGGGCAGGUCACAGCACAAUUAACAGUUGGGAUUAAGCAGUGAUACGCAAAUCACUGCUCUCUUAAAUGAGGAUCAGGAACAUGGGCUUCCAAGUGAUUACUGCCAAAAUGAUUGAUGCAUAAGGUAUUUCCAUAAACAUAGUGGACUGCAGAAGGAAGGGAUCAUGAAAAUUUUAAAUUAUAUAAUAGACACCAGAAGUACCAAAGCCCGUAUGGGCUUCCGAGUGAUUACUGCCAGAAUGAUUGAUGCAUAAGGUAUUUCCAUAAACAUAGUGGACUACGGAAGGAAGGGAUCAUGAAAAUUUUAAAUUAAAUUUAAAUUAUAUAAUAGACAUCAGAAGUACCAAAGCCCGUAACAUCCCCAAGCAGAAAGGAAUGGUAAGAGUAGACGAACACCCUCCAAAACAAUGUACUAGCCUUUGAUCUGACAAUAGAGACCUUAAGUCUUCGCCACACCUCCAAGUCACUGGAAGCCUAGACUCGCAAAAAAUAAUAUAGUAAAUUAAAGAACAGAGAGAAAAUCAUUUUUCAAGAAAAUGAAAAAAAAAAUAGAAAAAAAAAGGUUGGGAAAGAGAAAAGCUCAUCCAAAAUCUUAUCACAAAACCAAAUAGCAGGGAUCCCAAACAUGGCCAAUAGUCCCCGUUCAAGCUUCCCUAAAAUCAAGACAACAGAUAGAAACCGUCACCAAAUACCCCCAGUGAAUUUUCCAGGAAAGAGAACAAAGACCACGUUGGCAAGAAAAACUCCCAAUUUAAUUCAAAUCCAUCCAAAUGAAAGCUCUUCUACCCUCCGCAAACCAGAAGUCCACUAUUCCUGAAAGACGACAUCAAAAGAACCAGAACCAGAGGAAACGAAAUCUUGAAACAUCACCAAGAUCGGAACAAACAGUAAAGCAACUGCCUAUAGCAAUGCAACAAUGAUGCAGAAAGCAAAACUCCAGAUUACAGAUUACAUUCACAUCCAUCCAAUAAUUUUUAAGAAUCAUCACCUCAAAAGCCCAUAUUCAGUCACCACCCUCAGUAGAAUUCUGCAAGUGAGUGAAAACAUGAAUAGCCAACAAAGACUUGAACUUGGCACAAAGAUGAAAUAAAAAUUGUAGAUCAUCUAGAAUAUUAUCAGAACUGACAAAUGUAGCAUUCAAUCUUCUUCAGACCAUGAUGAAUCAGCACCACCAAAAACACUACCUAUAGAGACAUGUUAGAUGACAGAAUUUAAUUCCCGUUAGAUACCAAGCACCGCAGAGCCAUCCCCAAAGAGAAGUCCUGGACUAAGCUAAUCCAUCAAAAUACGAAACACAAGAAAAGAACAAUAGGGUACAAUAACAUAGGUGAAUUGAAUGGACAGAAGACAAUUCAUAGAUGGUUUAGAAAAAAAAAAGUUGAGAAUAAGCAGAGCUAUACACUUGGUUAUACCUCAAUCUAUUUCUCAUGGAUCAGGAAAGUCAACUCUGCAGGGAUUACCACCAGACCAAAUAAUGGAGACAGAAUAAGAAAAGAUUAACAGAAAAAUUAUAUAGUGUCAAAACCCCUAAAUUCCUCGUGCACAAAAGAUAAAUUAGUAUAGGUGAGAAAAUAACUCCCUCCAAAUAAGUUUACUAGCCCUUGAUCCGAGAAUAGAGAGGUAAGUUGAACCACCUUCACUGAAGCCCUAGUAAUAUAGGAAAUUAUAAGACAGAGCAGAUCUACCAUCCAGAGAUCUCUCAAUCAAUUUCAAGGAAACAACAGAAAACAAGUAGGGAAAGGGAGAGCUCCUCCAAAAUCUUUUCGCCCAGAAUAGCACAGUAACAAACAUGAUAACAAUGCUUUGAUCCAAGCUAUCCUAAAAUGAAGACAAGAGAGAAGCCAUUACCAACAAACACCAGUGAUCUCAAGGCAAACAGAACAAACAAGAGAACUCCGAUUUACCACAUCCAUCCAAGAGAAGAGAGCACUUUUUGCCCAUACAGAACUCCAGCAUUCUAAGACAACCACACCAAAAGAACCAGAAAAGAAGAGACAAUCUUGGAAAAAGAAAAGAACGAGUACCAUUCACGAAGUAUUCAACAUACUGCAAAAGUGCAAGAAAGUGCAGGCCUUCAUGAUCAAUUCUUAAUCAACACCACAGAGAAACUUCUGGAAGCCCAGAGCCACCACCUACAGCAACACCACCUAAAGCAACAACAAAACACCACCUGGAGGUCCAGGUAAAAGCUCCAGAUUUUACAUUACAUUCAGACCCAUCCAAUUUAUUCACGAAGAGACACAUCCCAGAGACCUCCCUUUGACUGCGGAAAGCAACACAAAAAGCCAACAAAAAUUCAAAAUUUGACACAGAUGAGAACUGACAAUGGAAUGAACAAAUAACACCAGCUUUUUACAAAUUUAGAUUACCUACCAUAACCCCAAACCUAUUCAUAUAACAAGCAUAAACUUCAGAUCAUGAUGAACCACCAAAACACCAGAACCUACCUUAAAACAUGUUUAGUGGCAGAAUUUGAGCACUAAGAAAUACUUCAGAAGAUCAAAAUCGCCAAACUGGUAAGAUCCUAAGCAUCUGAGAACCAUUCCCCAGACAUAAAUAAGGCAUGGGAUAAGCAGCAAAAUGGGUGCAUGUGAAUUGAAUGGGCAGGUCGAAGGUGUCCAACCAUUAAUCGCUGGGAUUAAGCAGUGAUACCUUUUCCUUGAGGAUCAGGAACACAAGACUUCCAAGCAAUUACUGACAAAACAAGUAAUGCAUAACAUUUCUACAAACAUGGUGGACUAUGGAAGAAAAGAUUUACAAAAAAACUAGAUUAUAUUUAUAAUAGUCUGCAGACAUCAAAAAGUACUAAAACCUGUAAAAUGCUCAAGCAAAAAAAAUAAAAUGAUAAGCAUAGAUAAGAAGAUAAAUCCCCCUCUAUAAUAAUGUACUAGCCUUUGAUCUUGAGGACAGAGACCUAAGUUUUGGCCACACCUCUGAAUCACCAGAAUCCUAGAUUCCACACAAAAUGAUAUAGUAAAUUAGAGAACAAGUAGAGAAAAUCAUUUUUAAAGAAACAGCAAAAAAAAAGAGCAGGGAAAGAGAAAGCUUAUCCAAAAUCUUGUUACAAAACCCGUUAGCAGGGUACCAAACACACCAACACUCCUACAACAAGCUUCCCUAAAAUCAACACAACAGACAGAAGGCAUCACCAACCGCCACCUUGAUUUUUUCAGGCAGAGGGAACAAAGAAAGACCAGGUUGAAAAGAAAUCUCCCGAUUUUAUUCACAUCCAUCCAAGAGAGAACUCCUCUCGCCUCCACACACCAGAAAUCCACUAUUCUUGAAAGACAUCAAAAAAACCAGAAGACAAGACAAAUCUUGAAAAAUCACCAAGAACAAAACACAGUAAUUAGCGUCAAGUCCUUUUACCAAUCCACUCUAUAGGGAGACUGCUGAAAAACCAGAACUGCUGCCUACAGCAAUGCAAAAAUAAAGCAGAAAGCAAAAUCAAGGAUCACAUUCACAUCCAUUGCAUAAUUCCACGAAGAAUCACAUCCCAUAAUUCUAAAAAAAUGGCAUCCAAAAGCCCAUGUUCCAUCACCACCCUCAAUAAAGGAAUGGAUCAAAAGACUUGGCACAAAGCCAAGAAUAAUCCUCAAAUAAAAACUCUGAACAAUUUACCAUUCAAUCAAACCAAUAUGCAUAGCCUUAACUCUUCUUCAGAUCAAGCUGCAUAAGCAAAAUACCAGGACCCCCACCCAUACAAAAGUUUGAUGACGGAAUCUACUUCCUGUUAUAUACUGAGCAGCACAUAACCAUCCCCAAAGAAAAGCACUGGAUUAAGCUAGUCCAUCAAAUCCAAAAGCCAAAAAAAAAUGCUAACCUUAGGUGAAUUGAAUGGGUAGGUUGAAAGCAUUCACACAGUUUUUCCAGAAAUAAACGGUUGAAUAGCAAAGUUAUGCACUUGGUUACAACCCGUUCUAUUCAGAGUGGAUCAGGAAAGUUGACUCUGCAUGACAUGCUGCAGACCAAAAAGAUUCACGGACAAAUUAUAUUAUAAAUAUGGUGUCCAACCCCCUAAAUUCCUCAAGCACAAAAGAACAAUUAGCGUAGGUGAGAAAUUAACUCCCUCCAAAAAAUUUUACAAGCCCUUGAUCUGAGGAUGGAAAGGCAAGUUUGAAUCACAAAUCACUGGAACCCAAAGUUGCAACACCCUAGUAAUAUAGGAAAUUAGAGAACAAGCAGAGCAAAUCCACAAAUGUCCUAAUCAACUUCAACAAAACAGCAGAAAACAAGCAGGGAAAUAGAGGUCCUCCAAAAUCUUGUUAAGCCCGAAUAGCAGGGUAACAAACAUGAUGAAAAUGCUCCGAUCCAAACUUCCCUAAAAUGAAGAUAAUAGUUAAGCCAUUACCAACGUGCGCCAGUGAUUUUUAGGCAAAGAACACAAACAAAGAAUUGAUUGGCAGAAGAGAACUCCCAAUUUAUCACCUUCAUCCAUCCAAGAAGAGUUCUUUUUGCUUCUAUCCAUCCAGGAAGAGCUCUUUUCACUUUCAUACACAGAACUCCAUCAUUCUAAGAUCACAUCAAAAGAACCAGAAUUUAAAAGCUAAGAAAUACUUGACAACAUCAAUAUUACCAUAUUGAUACGAUCCUAAGCAUCUGAGAACCAUUCCCAAAGACAGAAGGCAGGGAACCAAAAUAAAUUCAAAAGCCUAAAGAGAACAAAUGGGCAAAACGCAGCAGCAGGAGCAAACCAGGUGGAGGCAAAAUUGAAUGGAGAGGUUGGAAGCUAUUUCAAUGGUGUUUGUCCUGGGAAGAAAAGGUCUGCAGAUAUCAAAAGGUGACAAAAGCACAAGAUUGUUUGGAAGAAUAUAACUCCCUCCAAAACAGUUUACCAUCCGAGGAAGGAAGGCUCAGUUGUCACUACAACUCCGAAUCACUGAAACCCUAUAUUGCACAACACAAAUGCAGGAGAUCAGAAAACGAACUCGCUGUCUCACAGAGCAAAUCAGCAUCAAACAGCUGAAAACAAUCAAAGACAGAGAAAACUUCAGGAAUCUUGCAAACCAGUAUAGCAGCGUAAAAAACAUGACCAGAGCCUCCUGCAUCCAAGCUCCCCUAAAUCAAUACAACAGAUAAGGCCAGUUGCUAAUUGACUCCCCAGUUAAUUUUUUCAGGAAAUAAAAAAGGAAACCAAAAAAAAGGGACGAGGGAAAAACUCCCGGUGUCGUAGUAUGAUAUUCGCAUCCAGAAAGUCUUUUUUUAGCCCCACCGAAGACUAGGAUUCUGCCACGCCACAACGAGAACAUCAAAAGAACCAAGGAAAAAAAGACGAAUCUUGAUAACAAAGAACGAUCGAGAAAUUACUAAUUAACAAACCCAAUAAUAGUAAAAACUCAAUCUUCCUCAUCAAUCCUGGAUAGACAACACGCCAAAACUACCGAAAGUCCAGAGCACCGCCUACAGCAAUCACAACAACAAUAACAGCCACAGAUUAAAUAAAAACUCCAGAUUCAGAUUACGCUCACAUCCAUCCAACAGAAAGUUGCUUCCUACUCCAUCCGCCCGAAAUCCAUCAUUCUACAAGAAGCACGGCAAGAAAACCAGAAAGAAGAACCAAAACGGGGCUAUUUUUGAACCAAAACAGGGCUAAUUUUGAAGGAAAUUUGAUGUCAAAUUUGUCCGAUAAUUGGAAUGAUCCAGAAAUUACCACGUAAACAAACCGAAUCUAGUGCAAAAACUGGUAUCCUUCCCGUUCAAUCCUUCGAAAUACCCGAUCAACCGCCAAAAAAAAACCAUGAUUAAAUCUCAAAAGUCGCUAUAAAAAAAAUUAGCGAUAAUAAGCUUCAAAUUAAUCAAAUCAUCACAACCAUAGAAGCAACGAUCGAACCUAGCGAUAAUCAUCAACCGAAGAUCGUAACCUUCAGCUGAGACAAAAAACCACAACAAUUGAAUCUCAUUUAGCGAAAGCCUAACCGUAGAAUCCCAAGAAAACCCACGAUGAAGUUAAAAGCAGAUGAUUUCUUACCACACAACGAAACGGAAGCAAAAGGCCACUGGAAAGGAAAGCGGGGAUUGGGGGUAUUUAU